GGAAAAAUACUUUUAUAUAGUUAGAAAGAUUUGAUUUGCAGUCAGAAAGAGAUUUAUUACUCUUUUUCCA
Molecule: transfer RNA, 70 nt
Filed under: Succineidae gen. n. sp. z RM-2021
Lineage: Eukaryota; Metazoa; Mollusca; Gastropoda; Stylommatophora; Succineidae
Description: tRNA-Ala
Source: RNAcentral